AACUAUAAAAGACGAUCUCAGUUCGGACUGCAGGCUGCAACUCGCCUGCACGAAGUUGGAAUUGCUAGUAAUCGUGGAUCAGCAUGCCACGGUGAAUACGUUCCCGGGUCUUGUACACACCGCCCGUCACACCAUGGGAGCCGGUAAUACCCGAAGUCAGUAGUCUAACCGCAAGGAGGACGCCGCCGAAGGCGGGACCGGUAACUGGGGUGAAGUCGUAACAAGGUAUC
RNAcentral lists this ribosomal RNA (230 nucleotides) under uncultured bacterium. Its description in RNAcentral is "partial 16S ribosomal RNA". It matches the Rfam family "Bacterial small subunit ribosomal RNA", at positions 1271 to 1500 of the family's 1533-position model. The record is from RNAcentral.